UCAAACCCUAAUUCAUCUGGCCAUGAAACUUGCCCGUCAAGAAACCCUAGUUUGGGAAUCCUUCAAACAUUGAUCAUGCUCAUUUUUGGCCAUCCUAUCACCCUACCAUUUAUUUAACAUCAUUUCAUUUCCAUUACAAUCCAAACCAACCAUUUAAGUAUCCAUUCAAUCCAUGUUGCAAGUAGUUGUUUCAUACAUGAUUUU
This 204-nucleotide long non-coding RNA is filed under the name Lathyrus oleraceus (garden pea). RNAcentral describes it as "Pisum sativum (pea) long non-coding RNA (PSAT_LNC007402)". Lineage: Eukaryota; Viridiplantae; Streptophyta; Magnoliopsida; Fabales; Fabaceae. The record is from RNAcentral.